UUGUUAACGGUAUUGUAACAAAUAACAAGCAGAGGACGAACUAUCCGUGAACUGUUUUGCCAACGAGUACGCUUCCAAUAUUUUCUGUUUGAGAAAACACGAUCUAAGGGGGGGGGGGGGGGGCAAAGCUUGUUAAUCUGGAAAGAAUACAAGCAUCAAUUUAAAGCGCUUAUAGGGAAUCAAGCGGGCUUGUUAAGGUCAUAUUUCUGGUCUACGCACUCCAGUGCCCGCACAACUGAUAUUGAAACACCUGAUUUUCCCAUAUUCUACAGCGACAAAUUUCCUGAUAUUUUACAACCAUGAAGAACUCGUACUCGAAAAUACUUGCAAUGCUCAUCUGCUUGCAGAUUAUCUUUAUCACUUUCUUCCCGUUAGGGGCUGUGGCUUUAGGAGAAAACUGUACUGAUCUCGAAGGAAAAGUUGUCUCGCAUGGAAUGAUGUAUGUGCCGGGACCUUCGAUUUGCAGUCAAUGCUUCUG
This 478-nucleotide unclassified non-coding RNA is filed under the name Bombus terrestris (buff-tailed bumblebee). RNAcentral's name for it is "misc RNA ENSBTSG00005029445.1". Lineage: Eukaryota; Metazoa; Arthropoda; Insecta; Hymenoptera; Apidae. The record is from RNAcentral.